This 441-nucleotide ribosomal RNA is filed under the name uncultured bacterium. Its description in RNAcentral is "bacterial SSU rRNA". It matches the Rfam family "Bacterial small subunit ribosomal RNA", at positions 355 to 794 of the family's 1533-position model. The record is from RNAcentral.
UGAGGAAUAUUGGUCAAUGGACGAGAGUCUGAACCAGCCAAGUCGCGUGAAGGAAGACGGAUCUAUGGUUUGUAAACUUCUUUAGUGUGGGAACAAAGCGUGGUUGCGACCACAAAUGAGUGUACCACAAGAAUAAGCAUCGGCUAACUCCGUGCCAGCAGCCGCGGUAAUACGGAGGAUGCGAGCGUUAUCCGGAUUUAUUGGGUUUAAGGGGUGCGUAGGCUGUUUGACAAGUCAGUGGUGAAAGCCCGGGGCUUAACUCCGGAACUGCCGUUGAUACUGUUGAGCUGGAAUACGGAUGCCGUGGGAGGAAUGAGUAGUGUAGCGGUGAAAUGCAUAGAUAUUACUCAGAACACCGAUUGCGAAGGCAUCUCACGAAUCCGUCAUUGACGCUGAGGCACGAAAGCGUGGGGAUCAAACAGGAUUAGAUACCCUGGUAGU